RNAcentral lists this ribosomal RNA (497 nucleotides) under uncultured bacterium. Its description in RNAcentral is "partial 16S ribosomal RNA". It matches the Rfam family "Bacterial small subunit ribosomal RNA", at positions 899 to 1397 of the family's 1533-position model. The record is from RNAcentral.
ACUCAAAGGAAUAGACGGGGGCCCGCACAAGCGGCGGAGCAUGUUGCUUAAUUCGAGGCGACGCGAAGAACCUUACCUAGGCUUGACAUGCAGGGAAAAGCCGUGGAGACACGGUGUCCGUAAGGGCCCUGCACAGGUGGUGCAUGGCUGUCGUCAGCUCGUGUCGUGAGAUGUUGGGUUAAGUCCCGCAACGAGCGCAACCCUUGUCCUAUGUUGCCAGCGCGUAAUGGCGGGGACUCGUAGGAGACUGCCGGGGUCAACUCGGAGGAAGGUGGGGACGACGUCAAGUCAUCAUGCCCCUGAUGUCUAGGGCUGCAAACAUGCUACAAUGGCUGGUACAAAGGGUCGCGAUCCCGCGAGGGUGAGCUAAUCCCAGAAAGCCAGUCUCAGUUCGGAUUGGAGUCUGCAACUCGACUCCAUGAAGUCGGAGUCGCUAGUAAUCCCGGAUCAGCUACGCCGGGGUGAAUACGUUCCCGGGCCUUGUACACACCGCCCGU